This 18319-nucleotide long non-coding RNA is filed under the name Nicotiana benthamiana. RNAcentral's name for it is "long non-coding RNA (NBEN_LNC006360)". The record is from RNAcentral. Lineage: Eukaryota; Viridiplantae; Streptophyta; Magnoliopsida; Solanales; Solanaceae.
ACGAGACUCCAUAAAAGGGUAAAUUUGCAAAUAUCAGUUCAUAAAUUCUGGGUUGAUUCUUGUAUAAUUUGUCCUAAGCUCCCGCCGCCCAGCUAUUAUUUGGGUCCAGAAUCUAAUUCAAGGAAGUUUUGGAUUUUCACUUAGCGGGUAACACUAAAUAAUCAGGUUCAUUUAAGUAUAGAUAGAGGACAAACGAAGGUGAUGUACAGGUUUGGAGAGGAAAUAAUCCAUUUUUUUAGCAGAUCUUUAAAAAUUUAGUUAAAAGGAUUCCAUACUAAGCUAAUGUCAACUGAUACAAAAGAAUAUAUAUAAUUAUCUACGAGCUCAUAUGACAUUUAAACAUAGAACUUUAAACUAACGUUUAACAAAUCUGUACAUAAACUUCAAAGACUAUGACUAUGUAUUGCCAUUUAAUCCAUCACAUGAAGCUUACACGAUCAGUUUCAACCAGAUUGAAUUUACUAUCACUAAAUACUACACCUUAUCAACAAUGUCCAAACAGUCUAAGAUAGUCUAACAACAGUCCAAAAUAUUCGAGGAACAGUCCAUAUUAUAUAGCCCAGGGUUCAUAUGCACACGAAUUAGAAUCAAAUCAUAUUAGACUCUAAUACCUAUUUUGCUAUUACUACAUAACAAUCCAAGCAAGCACAAUUCAGGAAUCAAAUCUCUUUCAUUUCAUCUCCACUUCAAAGUUACAUCAAACCAAGUUCAAGUGUACCUGGAUUAUAAUGAGAUAAAGGAGAAAAGGAAGGUUAGCAGCAAAGUUAGUAACAAUGUAGUAAUAGGAAUCAGCAACUCGUUGAUCAAUUAUACACCCAGAAACACAAGUAAAGUAGCCAAAAAGGACAAGUAGACCACCCAAACAACUUGAACAAAUCCAAACCAAAAGCAGAACUAUCCAGAAUAAACUCUCAAACUUCAACAAUCAGGACAUAAGGACAUUUAAUCUAGAAAACUCGAACCACAACUGUAUUUUGAGAUUAAUUUAAGGAAUUUCAGUAGAACAGAAAUUUUUAGGAAUUUUUCUCUUGUAUAUUUUUUAAGGUCUUUUAAUCUAGAAUGAACCUAGUUUUUGUAUUUUGAAAUUUAAAUUUCUAAGGCUAAGCCUACAGAAAAGGUUUUGGGGGGAAAAUUUGGAUGCUGGAGGUUUUUGGGGAAUUUUUCAGAGAUUCAAACUUUUUUGAAUUUUCAGAUGUGUAAAACUUGUGAAUUAAGGCAUUGGACAUGCCUUUUAUAGGAAAAGAUGAGGGCAUAACUCAUAUUUUUCAGUUUUGCAUUUUCAAUCCUUUCUUAACUUUUAUUUUUGCUUGAACAUCCCUUAUUUUUCUUUCUCAAGUUAUAGCCACUAACUUCCAAAAAUUCUGUUUUGAACCCUAUCUAGAAUGUUUCUGAGAUUUCUACUAGUUGCUACCAAGAUUCUUUCUAUCUAAAAGCUUAUACUACCCUAGAACCUUAAUCUCAAUUACUAACCCUACCCCAGCCUUGCUAUCCUUAUUGAAUUAUCAACUAUUACCAAAUCGAUUAAGCUAAUUAAUACUAACUAAUUAUGCUAAGCCUAAUAGUUAAUUGAAACCACACAGUGAACUAAAGAAUCAUUGACAACAAUCACUAAUUAAACUGAACUAAACUAAUUAACACUGAACUAAUCAUUUAAAUCAAACAACACCAAGUUGAAACCAACUAUGAAGAAUAAACGAAAAAAAUUAAAAUACAAAGCAAUAACUAAUCAUGGAUUCCUACUGUUGAAAUCAAACGAGCAAAUUACUAAAAAUAAAACUAAAUAUAUGAUAAAAAUCAGAAACCUAUAUUGAAACCCUAACUCACCACAAAAUAACAAAAGCAAUUCUGGACAAAAAAAAACAAAAUAAAAUAAAAACAGAGAAGAAAAAAAAUGAAAGAAAAAAAACAAUACAAGAAUGAAAAGACAGAGGACGAUGAAAUACCUUGAAAUAGGAUUAGGGUUCAAAUGCUCGCAUGAUUUCUUGAAUUUAAUCGUACCAUAACUUUCUCUAAUUACGUAUUUUCACGAGAAAACAUGUAACUGAAGGCUAUUAUAGCCCAAAAAUCAAUCAACCCCUAAUUAGGGUUCUGGCCGAAAUUUGAUUUGAAAUUCGAGGCUAUGGAAGAACGUUUGAAGGGAAAGCAAGACAGAUAUGGGAUGGGUAAUGCCUGGUGGUUAAGGGGUAUCGAUAGGGUUUUGGGUCAUACUUUAGAUCUAAUAUUCGAGAAGAUUGGUGAUGAAUUGAAGAAGAUGGUUUUUGGAGUUGGAAAGAGGAGGAAAAGGAGAGCUUUUGGUGGAAUUUUGGGGUCAUUUAAAGCUUCUCCGCCGGCAAAGGUGAUUUCCGGCCGGCGGAGGACGUUGUAAGGUAGUGGGAUACGUCGGGGGUGAUGGAUGUACGAGGAAGAUGAAUUUGUCUCUAAAUUUUGUAAAUAAAUUAUUACUUUUUUUAUGUAAUUUCUUUGAAUUGAGCUGGACCGUUUAUCAUGGGGAAUAGACGGACAGGAUUGAUUGAUAUCAAAAAGGCGUCGUUUUGCAAUGGCGGGUGGGAGGGACUGGAUCGGACUGUUGAUUUGGGCUAGUCUAGGCAAGGAGUUGGGGCAUUGGGCUGCGAUUAAUUUGAUAUUGGCCCAAAUACAAGCUGGCCUGCUUUUGUAUUUUACAUUACAUUUGUUAAUUUUCUUCUUUUCUUUUCUUUUGUAUUUUAUUUAAUUAUAUUUAUUUUGAAUUUUCUUAUUUUAUUAAAUGUGAGAUAUAAAAAUAAAAUAUCCAAAUUGACUCCAAAAUCAAAUAAUUAAAAUUCCAAAAUUAACUAGUUUUUUAUUUAAAAGAAAACUUAAGACAAAUUCUAAAAAAUGCGAAGAACCAUUUUUGUUAUUUUCUUUAUUUUUUAUAAUAUUAAAAUGCAUACUAUUUUGUAUUUUUUGAAUUAUAUCAAGUAAAAUGCACACAUAGAAUCCAGCAAUUAAUUCCUAAAAAAUUCAAAUAAGAAAAACCCUAAUUCUAAGGAAUUUUGUAGGAAUAAUGUAAGCGUGGAAAAUUCACGUGCUCACGGCUUGGAUAAGAUCUUUGGGUAAAAAGGUUCUUAGGCGGAACUACAACUUUGGAACCUUUUCGGCGGACUCAUGGCCGGACCAUUAUAACAUCUGGCCCAGUUACUUUUGGGGGAAUUUGGAUUUUUGUUUUGGUGUGACUGAACCCUAGAGAGAGGCGGCCUAUGUGUCCUUUCGGAUCAAGUCAAACGUAGUUCAGGGGAUACAUUUGUUUUUUGUUGUUUUUUUUCAUCUUUCUUUGUUUUCUUUUUUUUCGUUUUUUCUUUUUUUUUUCUACUUUUCCCCCUUUUCUUCAACAAUAUUUUCGGAUUCCAAAAAGGGUAGCCAAAGAAAGUUAACCGGCUCAAAGGAUUUUGCAAAGGGUUGAUAGUGUUUGGAUAGCGGGAAUGAAAGCCUCCGUCAUCUCAACUGUGCAAAGACAUCACUAGAGCAAGUUUAGACAUAGUACCUUUUUACUGCAUCUGCAUUCACCGUUGUUUCAGGAUCAUUUCCUUCGAUAUUAGUAUUUUUCUAGUAAUAUAUGGACCCUUCCAGUUAGGAGCAAACUUUCCUUUUGCUUCCUGAUGAUGAGGACGAAUGCGCCUUAACACCAGUUGUCCUACUUCAAAAUUCAUAGGUCAUACAUUCUUGUUGUAAGUGCGUGUCAUUCUUUGUUGAUACAAUUGCCCGUGCAACUGCGGCCAUCCAUUUUUUGUUAAUUAAAGACAACUGUUCCAGCCGAGUCUUGACCUACUCACUAUCCUCCAUUUUUGCAUCGACGAUUAUCCGGAGCGAAAGGAUUUCUACCUCUGUGGGUAUAGCAGCAUCAGUUCCAUAAACCAACAGGUAUAGGGUUGCUCCUUCCGAUGUGCCCCGAGUACAAUGCUCUUUUUAGCAGUACUCUCGUUGUAAUGUAUGGACCUUUCCAGAACCAUGAACCAAUUUUUCUUGAUUUGUUCCAACUCUUUAUUUUAUUUUCCUCAAACUUACCUUCUUUGUAUUUCUACUUUUGAUUCAUUAUUUCGAAGUCUGACAGCGUUCUUGGUAUUUGGGCAUGAAGUUUGCGAGCAUGUCAUGUUAUUUAAAGUUGCAUUAUUGGAAUUGAAGAGAAAUAAAAGAGAAAACAUAGCAACACUCAUAAUGAAUAAAGAAAAUGAACGAUGAAAUAUUGAUUUCAUUUCUUGGAAUUGGGAAGAUAACAGGGUUGACAUUCAUGAAUUUAAAGAUAGAAAACAUCCGAGUUACACCCUGGGAUAACUUGCGAUGCAGAAAAGAUGGCAGGACUUGUCUACCGGGACUCCUGCCUAAUCGGGAAUGGCAUAGCCUUCCAGUUUUGAAGCUUGGUGCUUGGUCCCAUGUAUAACAACGGUGCUAGUGCCCUUCCCUGGCUACACCAUGAGGGUUUUGUAGAGCAUUUUCCUUAUUGCCUCACGUAUUUCCUCACUUUCUUCAUCCGUGAAAACCUUAUCAUCUUCCUCUUUUACUUAAGCUUUUGUGGUGUGAAUCCAAUGCCCACUGGCUCACUCAGCCAAGGUGGUUUGAUUGUCCCCCGCACCACAUAGGCUUGCUUGGGUACGUACAUUUGUGUUCCUUUUUUCAAAUCAAUUUUCUUUUCCGGUUCUGUCUCAGUGAUUUUGCUCUUCUUUCCCCCUUCCUCUUGCUUCGAGGCUACUUUUGGCUUUCUUUCUGCAUCAACAAUAGAAAUUAUGGAUUUUAAGGCUGGAUCAAGCUCCCUAUCCUCACAAAUCAUCCCGAUUACCGGUUUGUUGUUGUGAGCGGGCAGUGGAUUAUUGGUUACAUUUGGGACAUCCUCAUGCUUCAAUACAAUUUUCCCUUGCUCUAUUAAAUUCUCCGCUGCUUGUUUCAACGUCCAACAGUUUUUUGUACUAUGCCCCUCAUAUCCUGAGUGAUAAGCACAUGGGAUGCCCCGCUGAUAGGAUGGUCCUUCAGGGUUUUGCCUAUUUUGGUUGUUUGGGUGGUUCCCGAGGAUGGAAGUUAUUCUGGGGAGGUUAAGGAUUAUAGUAAUUCUGGUGAGGAGCUGAAUUCUUUGGAAUGGAGGUUGAUUUAUGUUGGCCUGUGGUUGCGGUCGGGAAAAUGGUUGAGCAUUCAUGACCUCAUAAGUUGUGGGAGCAUAAGCAUAUCACAAUGAAGAUAGUAGUGUUGAGGAGUUAUUUUAGAGAACACAGGUUUAGGAAACCGAUAUCUUCUUCCCCCUGAAGCUGCCAUGAACGCUUCCUCUUUUGUCCUACCCUUUGACAUUCCUCCAAACCUGCCUUGGAUGGCUUGGGAGGUUGCUCUGAUGGCCGACUAACUCAAAAUCCUGCCCAUUUUCAAAUUGUUUUCUACCAUUUCACCAAUUUUGAUUGCUUCUGCAAGAGGUUUACCCAUGACCGACAUCAUGUUUUGGAAGUAAUCGGCUUCUUAGGCCUGAAGGAAGACAGUGAUCAUUUCUACUUAAUCUAUCGGAGGUUUCACCCUUGACGCAUGUUCAUGCCAAUUAAUAGCAUAUUCUCUUAAUCUUUCCGAAGGCUUCUUCUUCAAAUUCUCCAAAAAGUUCCUGUCUAGCGCGAUGUCAAUGUUAUAUUGAAACUGCCUUACAAAAUCUCUGGCAAGAUAAUCCCAAAUGUGCCAUCGUGAGACAUCUUUGUCCAUAUACCAUUCUAAAGCAAUGCCUACUAAACUCUCCCCGAAGUAAGCCAUCAACAACUCUCUUUUUCCGUCGGCCCCACACAGCUCAUUAUAGUACUUUUUGAAGUUAGCAAUGGGAUCGCCAUGCCCAUCAUACUUUUUGAACUUUGGCAUUUUGAAACUCAAGGGUAAGUCCAUGAUGACAUCCAAAUCCACCACUAAAAAGCAAAUCGGUUGCAUGCAAUAUAAUUUACCCAACUAUGAGUCGGGGUCGAAUCUCAUAGAGAACAAUGUGUAGGCGAUUAGGAAUGUAAGAAAAUUAUCGCUAGUCGCGCAAUGCCAAAAACUACUAAUUUUGGUUGAAAAUUGUUUUUAUAUAUAAAAUGCGGAAAUGUAAACUAACCUAGAAAGCAAGUAAAAUGAUCAAUGGCUACAAGUAUGAAAGCAUGGAAAAUUACAUUCAAGUAACGAUCCAAUGUAUUUCACGAUUUUACAAAUAUGAGCGAGAUUAUGUUAAUUAGCCACGGAUAAUAAUUCUUAAUAAACUUCUUCCGAAGACAAACAAGACUUCCUAAUUGAAUUAUCCCUAAUGACACUUAGAAGAUUAAGCACACUCGCAAGGCUACAAGUAGUUCAAUCGCUUUCUAAUUGAAUAAUCCCUAAUCACAAUUUAGAAGAUGCACACCCGGAAGGCUACAAGUAGUUCAAUCCUAUCCCUAGGUAGAAUCUAUAAAAUGAGGGUUAGAAGAUUAAGCACACCCGAAAGGCAACAAGUAGUUCAAUCCCAUCCCUAUGUAGAAUCUAUAAAAUGAGGGUUAGCGCCUCAAGUUCUUGUUAAUUAAUCUUUCCUAACCCCAAACUAUUUUUCCCAAAAUUAAUUCGGAGUUAAUGGGUGAGUCCUAGGGUUAGCUAAUCCCUUUAGAAAUAUUAAAGAACAAGAAUAGUUAAAGGAACAAUACUCACUUCAUAAAUAUAUAAAAAAACGUUCAAUACUUAAGCACAACAAGGUAUAAAAUCCACACUUUAAUUAUGAAUAUUCCCAUAAAUAAGAUUUAAGUAUUGGAUAAGAUACUACAUACUUAGAUAAACAAUACAAAGCAAGGAAAUGAAGAAAUAAACAUAAACGGGUAAGAAAAUCUUAACCACAAGCUUUAAUCUUCAAGACCCAAGUGUGUUUUGCAAACCCUAGCUCAAGAACUUGUUCUCUCUAGUCUCUAUGGACUGAAAAUAAGCCAUAAGAUCCUAAAAUAUCUGCUUGGACGAGUAUAAAACUGAUUUUGGGUGAGAGAAUAUGAAAGGACCCUUUCGUCUAGACCUGAUGCACUAUUUCCACAUCUGUGUACAAGUAACUGCAGAUGCGGUUCCGCAAAAGCGGUAAAACCAUCGCAUAAGCGGAAUUCCUCCAAUGUGUCAGGAAUCGCAUAAACGGAAAAUCAACCACUUUUGCAGUUCCGCGUAAGCUAAAUUUCAACCGCAAAAGCAGUUCUAGCCAGUUCCCCCAAAUCUGCAUAAGCGAUUAAAAAUCCGCAAAGGCGGACGUCGCUUCUGCGGCCAAUCUUCCGCAGAAGCGGAAAUCAAUCAAGGUUUUGCAUAGUUUCACCUUCUUUUUGCUCAAUUCCACUUCCAUUUAAUUCAAACCACUUCGUAGCAUCAUUUACCUAAAAAAUAAUAACCAUCAUAAACAACCUCAUUGUAUAAUUAAAAAUACAUAAAAGUUAAGGAAAAGAGGCUAGAAUGAAUGGUAAAAUCACCACUCAUCACCACCACCAACUUAAAGCUUUUGCUUGUCCUCAAGCGAAUGAAAACAAAAACUUCAAUGAGGAUUCACCAUUGAAAAUACAAGUGGUAUCGCCAUCACUUACAUAACGCAUUCUCCAAUUUAAACACCAUACUAAUGGAUUUGGUUGGUACUAACAAUUAUGGUCGAGUAUGCACAUCUUCCCCGAAUAACUCCCUCAUAAAGAAAAAAAACUUCAAGAAUGUGCAAGGGAGUUCAAGAAUAAUCAAGUGAUCAACAUAAGCCUCAAGAAGUGACUCGAAAGCACUAGUCAACUAAAAAUUGCUCAUUUUGCUCAAUUUCACCAAUCUUUCCUAAUUCAUCACAAGGAAGAAAGUCCCAAAAUCACUAUAUUUACAAUACAACAUUUGGGACAAAUUUAUUAAGAACAUUCACUUCACAAAGAACCUCAAGUGUUACGAUAUUUGAUUCUCACUUUGCUCAAUUUCACCAAUCUUUCCUAAUUCAUGUGCCCUCACAAGGAAGAAUGUCCCAAAAUCACUAUAUUUACAAUAUAACAUAAGGGACAAAUUUUUUGAAGAACACUCACUCUCACAAAGAACUUCAAGUGUUACAACAUUUCAUACCCUUAUUUAAUUCAUCACUUAUUCAAGAAUGCUCGGUUGGAGGUCUCAUAAGGCCUUUUUAAGCUUGUAAUGUAGGUUUAGGGAAGGGUUACAUAGACAUUUGGGCACAAGUGACUUCACCCUCCUUGAACACUACUCAUAAUUUUCCACUCUUUUGCACAUUGCUCAUUUUCAAACCCUCAUAGCCUUACUUUUAUUUAGCUCCAAUAUAGGACCACCUCAUCUACCUUUUCUAAUUUUUAUUCAAAACUCCAUACAUUUAUAUAUAUACACAUAUUUUCUCUUAUUUUUUUAUAUACACCUAUUUUUCAUCUCAUUUUUUUCUUUUGGAGCUUGAAUACCAAACAAAUACUUUUCAGGCAUGGGUCCUAAACUCACCAUACAACCUUACCAAUAUCUCCUUAGAAACCACCCCCAACUUAGGCUUUUAGCCGCAUUCUCAAUGCUCAAAGAGGGACGGGUUCAAGAGAGGGAAUUAUUUUUUAAAAGGGGAAAUGUUUGUAAUGAGUUGGCCAAAGAAAAUGUUUAAAGGCUCAAAUUGGGUACUACUGAUAUUAUUUAUGCAAAAGUAGGCUUAAAAGGCUAACGAGGUUUUCUAAAUACAACAAAGAAUUCCUAAGAUCUCAUUCCUCCAACCAAACAUAAUAUCAUUAGCAUUGAAAAACCAACUGGGGAAGUUCUAGAUGAUAGAAUUAAAUGCAAGAUUUAUCUGAACAAACACUAACACAUGGCACAUGAACUAAUCAAGAUGGAUCAAUGAUGUUUUGUAAUAUAGAUAUUUGGAGAAAUAUUUGAACUAGUAGGUAAAGAGUCACUAAAAAAGCCAAAACUUUAUCACAAGAAUUAUUUUGCACCAGGCACUUACUUGUUUUAAGUACAAAAGCAAAUUUUUGGAUGGGUAUUCUUAAUUUACAAUAUAUAUACAAGAGACUAAUAUUAUUAGUACCAAAUAAUCCAAAAGCCUCAUCGUAGAAAAGCAAGAUUAAUUCCCUUAAGAAUGUUGUUAAUCUAUCCAUCAUCGGGAAAAGUCAACCGGUUCACUUCAAAAGUAUUCCUAGGGAAAGAACCGUAGCAUGAAGAAAACCCAAGGAAGUUUGAUUUAAAAAAAUGAAAAUAAAACAAAAGAAAACUACUAUAAAGUAUACUUAAAUAAAAGAAGCUAAUACUACUACAAAAGUAAAAAAAUAUAAGCUAAUUAGAAGAAAAUUAAAUAAUGAAAGAAAAAUACAAACACAAACACGACUAAUCAAACCAAGCCCGGCAAGGGCACCUGCUACAUAUACUAGCCCGUCUAGGGCACGCAAUAUACAGAACAACAUCAUCACAAGCCUAAUAAGGGCAUACAGUAUCUACAAUAUAAGCAUAAGCCCGACAAGGGCACGUAAUCUCAAAUUAGGAAUACAGUACACAAUGUCACCCCCAACUAAAACAUUGUAGUGUCCUCACUGCACAAUAUAAAAUAUAAAGCAUUAAAAGUUUGAGGGUAUCCCUGAUGUCUGCAUCAGACUAGCAGAUUGUGGAAGGACGGAUGAUCAAUGCUGAGCUGCACUCGUAGCUCCAUCAUCCUCUGUCUCCUCCUCCUCAUCAUCAUCAUCGCCACUAUCACUAGCAGACUGUGAAAGGAAUGAAUACUCCUCACUGUCAUCUUCUGCUGCUAUUAGAAUCUUUUUAUAUGGUCUUCCCCACUUGAAGGUGGCUUUGAUGCCUCUCCACAUCUUGACCAUGAAUUUGUUCUUUCUCUUGUUCUUCUUCUUCUCCUUCUGAAAGCCCGCCUGAAGGUUAGCAUGGGCCUUGGCCAAAGUGCCAUAGGCUCCCUAUAGUUUGGUCACUCAUGCUGUCAUUUUCUUACUGUUCUCGUCCUGGCAUUUUUGAGCAUCAAAGUAACCCUGCAUAUCUUCCCUAGAGAAGUAACAAGGUCCAGGAUGUGAGGAGGAUGGCACACUCGGAAGCUGUGAUACUAACUCCUUAAUUGAUUAAUGCUCGGAGUUAAGUAUCCCAAAUGGCCUUUGAGGGGCUGACUCUGAACCUGUGGCUGUGGAAGUGACUUUUCUCUUUUUUCUUUUGACCACAAUUCCCUCUCCAGUAACUCUCAAGGGGUGGAAAGGUUUGUCAGCUGGCAGCCAACAAUCGGUGGGGCGGAUGGUAACCUCUGCUCGGGUGCAUAGUGUUGUAAUCAGUAAGGGGAACAUCAACCCUGCAUCCUUCUCUCUCGAAUACUCUCUUAAGUACUACCUCAUCUCCUGAAGAAUGAAGUACCCAACAUUCGCCUGAAUACUAUCCAAAAUGCAUGCUAUGAUCAAUGCCCGGGUAUAGGAGACAUCGAAAACAUUUCCACACGAACAUACUCAAUUGAUGAUGAUAUGCAACCACCUUUUGGCCUCGGCAGUAAAGUCAGUUGAUUUUAGCCCCUUUUAUUUUUUCCCCAUUUCUCCCUCACGUGCGGAGGGAAACGUUUGGAUACAAGCCACUCUCCAUUAUCAUAGUUAUUUUUCUCUUGCACCGGCUCCAAGGGAUAGUUUGGGAUUCCAAGGGUGUCAUUGACGUUCUUAAUCCCGAACCUCACCAUUUUUCCUUUGAUUAUGAUUUGUUGAUCAUCAAAUUUCGUACGCCUAAGAUUGGCGUAGAACUCGCGAACCCACAUCUCAUUGGCUUCACAAGGGGUGGCGAUGAAAUAGGACCAUCCGGAUGAAUAGAGCUAGGCAUGGAAGUUAGGAAGCUUUUCAGCCAAUUUACCCUCAAGUAUUCCCUUUUCAGGAAUCAUAUUUUUAUGGACGAGGUAGUCCAAUUAUUGACGCUCACAUGAAGCAGACAUGAAGCGCGAAUCAUCAUAAUGCUCAUCAAUCUCUUCCUGAAUUUUUUAUUGUGAUCCGCUUGGGUUUGGGUCCAUUUUUGAAUUGAAACACCUACAAAGAAUCAACACAAGAUUAUUCGGAUAAUAGAAUCAUGCUGAACAAUAUAAGACACUUCAUUUGAGCCAAAAAUUAGUUUGAAUGGGUACGGGAAGCACUGUUUGCAAACACACUAUUUUUGCAAAAUCUGGGCAAUUUCCGCUUCUGCAGAACUUAAACCGCAGAAGUAGUACCCCUUUUGCGGUGAAAAAGUCACUUCUGCGGUUCUCACGCAUUUGGACUAUUUGGCUUUUCAUUUCUGCGGAAUUUUUACCGCAGAAGCGGUUCCGCUUCCAUAGAAGUCCAACUGCUUUUGCGAUUUUCACUGUUCUUCAGAGAAAUCAGUGCUCAGUUGUUUUUUCAAUUCUUUUGCCAUUUCAACAAAAAUGUUGGCUUCAAAACAAAGAAUUAUUGCAUUAUAAUAGAACAUGAUUCAAUGGAGACCAAAUUUAUGCCGCUUCGCACAAGAUUUUCACUCAAACAAUGUGUCGAACACUUGCGAGCGAGUUAGGAUGAACCUUUCUUCACAAAAAUGGGGUAAUCAAGACUUCCCACCAUUUUUGUUCAAUUUAAUUACCACACAUACGUUUACACUCAACCAAAUCCUUACUUCCUAAAGCAAACAACAAGAAUCCAAAACAAAAAAAGAAGAAAAAGAAGAGAACAUCAAAUAAAUUAAAAUAAAAAGAAAAUUUCUGUUGUAACUGAGCAUUUGAGAAUGAGAAGUGUGAGAUGAGCAUUGAGAAGAGGAUAAGGAAGAUAAUACUUGAACUCGUGCAAGAGAAAUAAAUUUACGAGCAAGCUUGUUGAAUGUUGGGAGAAUUAUGUUCUUGGGGAGUUAGGGCAGGGAGACACAGUGUUGUUUUGCUUUUGAGGAAAAUGAACCGUUCAAAAAUGUUUUUUUUUAACAAUUAAACCUGGACGAUUUCGCAUGUGCAGUAUUUUUGUUGCUUAUGCGGUUCCGCAUAUGCGGUCAGAAAACCGCUUCUGCGACUCCAAUCGCUUUUGCGUUUAAUAUUUUGCUUCUGCGAGACUGCAGGUGCAGUCAAAAAGUCCCAUAUGCGGUUUUAGCAGAGAUUUCAUGAAUAGUGUUCUGCAGCUACUGGUUUUUGCCAUCCGGACCUCUGACCUAUGCAAAUUAACUGCAGAAAAUCUAAAACUUGGCACAUUAGUCAAAAAUAAUAUUCUAAGCUAUUAAAAAAAGAAAGUUUCAUAAAUGAUGUAAAAUUUUGAAAAAAAAUGGGUUGCCUCCUACCAAGCGCCGAAUUUAACGUCGUGGUACGACACAAAAACUUUACCACUUUUCUCGCCACUUUGAUGAUAUGAAUGGACACCUAGCUUGGAAUCAAGCUUGUGGCCACGAGCGACUGUGGGUGGUAAGUUGAUGAUUGAGCCAAUGCUUAAAAUCUUAAUUUUGCACUUCUUGCCUCUCAAGUGAGGAAUGUUAUUUUGAUUUCUUGCUUCCUCAAACUAUAAAAUGUAUGGCAUGAGUUUUUCUCCUCGGAGCCCUUCAUUGAUUCAUGUGCUUCAACUCUCGUCUCACCAGACAAUUCCAACGUUGAAAAGUGCUUGGAAUGUGACGUCAAGCCUUCACUUUGCAAUUUUUCUAUCUUGACAUCCUCUUUUUCCUCUGGAUUAGAGUCAACAUCAAACACAUUGGCAUUUACACCGGUUGACUCGAAUCCCAUAUUUUUCUUGGCAUCAUAACCCUCAUGGAGUCGGUUGGCGUUUUUUCAAUUCUUGAUUCCUCAAAGUAAAGCUCACUUUCUUCCUCUGAAUUUGACUCUUCUUGGCUUUCUUUCACACACUCAAGUUGUUGGGCAUAGUGAGCCUCAACCAAAGUUUGCAUUUGAUCUUCCAAAGUGUGAUAUGUUCAUCAUUGUAAUUCAAGCUUAGUUUCAAGUUCUGGAGUGCAAAUUUGUGCUUCUCCUCAUUUUCAAGAAUGGUCUCCAACAUAGGCAUUAUUUCUCAUUUUGAGCAUUUGAGAGUUCUUCUUCGUUUUGGUCAAGAAUUGUAAUACAAGCUUUGUUUCAAGUCAUCGAGUACAAAUUUUUGCUUCUCCUCAUUUUCAAGAAUGGUCUCCAACAUGAGCAUUAUUUUCUCGUUUUGGGCAUUUGGGAGUUCUUCUUGGUUUUGAUCAAGUGCCAAGAGAAAGGGUUUUCACUUUCAAUCUCCAAGGAAGGAUUUUGGUUUUUAUUCGCUUCCAAGGCUCUUUGAACCCUUGAGGCUUCGAUCAUUUCAUCCAUUUGUGAGUGCAAUCGUUGAAGUGCUAAAUCAUUUUGGAGACUAGUCUCCAAAUGAGUUCCAAUGCAUUUUGCUCCUUGUUUCCUUAUUCAAGUAGACACUCCAACAUGAGCUUGAACUCUCCAUUUUGGCCAUGCUCAACUUCUUCCAUUUCCCUAGCCCUAUUGUUUUCAUCACAAAAGGCACACUCAUUAUAGUAGGGGCUUGGGGAAGGGAAGGUCAAAUAUGCACAAUAAUCCCAAUGACCAUUUUGUACUCCAACCAUGGGGAUGAGAUUGUGUGCACAAUCCACCUCGGGGAUAAUUUAAACAAUUUUGCCACGAGUGUGGUCCUCCACAAUAAGGACAUGGGUCAUCAAAGUAUGAACAACUACCAUCUGACCAAUUAUCAUUAUAUGAUGCCAUUUUUAAAAAAUAACAAAAUAAACAAGAAAAAAACAAUAAAAGUAUACCCAAGGUAAGAAAAAUAAUUACACAAAUAUUCACAAGUUUGGACUAAAACACUUUCGCUUACUUCUCAAACAACCUAAAUUACGCCAAAUUAUUCCCCGAAAACAGCGCCAGUUUUGAUGGCGUCCAAAUCCACCGCUAAAAAUAAAUAGAAACGGUCGCAUGCAAUAUAAUUUACCCAACUAUGAGUCGGGGUCGAAUCCCACAGAGAAUAAUGUGUAAGCGAUUAGGAAUGUAAGAAGAUUAUCGCUAGUGACGCAAUGCCAAAUACUAAGAAUAUUAGGUUGCAAAUGGUUUUUAUAUCUAAAAUACUCAAAUAUAAACUAACCUAGGAAGCAAGUAAAAUGAUCAAUGGCUACAAGUAUGAAAGCAUCACGAAUUACCCCCAAAUAACAUUCCAGUGUAUUUCACGAUUUUACAAAUAUGAGCGAGUAUAUGUUAAUUGGCCACAACUAAUAAUUUUUAAUUAGCUUCUUCCGAAGACGAACAAGACUUCCUACUAGAAUUAUUCCUAAUCACAAUUAGAAGAUUAAGCACACCCGGAAGGCUACAAGUAGUUCAAACCUAUCCCUAGGUAGAAUCUAUAAAAUGAGGGUUAACGCCUCAAGUUCUUGUUAACUAAUCUUUCCCAACCACAAACUAUUUUUCUCAGAAUUAAUUCAGAGUUAAUGGGCGAGUACUAGAGUUAGCUAAUCCCUUUAGAAAUAUUAAAGAACAAGUAUAAUUAUUGAAACAAUAGCUCACUUCAUAAAUAUAUAAAAAUCAUUCAAUACAUAAGCAUAACAAGGUAUAAAAUCCACACUUUAAUUAUAAAUAUUCCCAUAAACAAGAUUUAAGUGUUGGAUAAAAUACUACACACUUAGAUAAACAAUACAAAGCAAGGAAAUGAAGAAAGAAACACAAAUCGGUAAGAAAACCUUAACCAAACUCACAAUCCUUCAUUGAUCCGUGUAGUUCGACUUCCGCGUCACCACACAAUUCCAACGUUGAAAUGUCUUGGAAUGUGACUUCAAGCCUUCACUUUGCAAUUUUUCUAUCUUGACAUCCUCUUUUUCCCCCGAUAAGAGUCAGCGCAAACCCUAGCUCAAGAACUUGUUCUCUCUAGUCUCUAUGGACUGAAAAUAAGCCAAAAGAUCCUCAAAAUAUCUGUUUGGAUGAGUAUAAACUUGAUUUUGGGUGAGAAAAUAUGAAAUGACCCUUUUGUCCAGGCCUGAUGCACUUUUUCCGCAUCUGCGUAAAAGUAACCGCAGAUGCGGUUCCGCAUAAGCGGAAACACCAUCGCAUAAGCGAAAAUCUUCCAAAGUGUCAGGAAUCGCAGAAGCGAAAUUUCAACCGUAGAUGCGGCUCUAGCCAAUUCCCCCAAAUCCGCAUAAGCGAUUAAAAAUCCGUAAAAGCAGACGUUGUUUCUGUGGCCAAUCUUCUGCAGAAACGGAAAUCACUAGAGGUUUAGCUUCACCUUCUUUUUGCUUAAUUCCACUUCAAUUCAAUUCAAACUACUUUGUAACAUCAUUUACUUAAAAAUAUAAUAAUAACCACCAUAAACAACCUCAUUGUAUAAUUAAAAGGACAUCAAAGUUAAGGAAAAGAGGCUCGAAUGAGUGGUACAAUCAUCACUCGUCAGUGCACAUGAGGGAACAAGCACAGAUCUAUAUAAGAAACACUUUUUUGCCCACUCAAUCCUUUUAUUUGCUUCCCUCGUAUUUCUUUUUCCUUCCUUUCUUUUUCAUAAGGUUACGGUCGAAUCUUAUGGAGAUUGCCUACGUAUCAUGACCCCGCAUGAAUCAGACCAAGCGUAGUUCUUAUAAAUAAGGUAAAUAAGCUAACCCUUUUUUUCUUUUCUCUUUUUUCAAUUAUUUGAAAGAAAUGCUUUAAGGGAAAUAUUUUUUUUCUUGAAAGAAAUACUUCUAAAAAUUCCUCUUCAAUUUUGUUGGAACUUUGGGAAUCUUGGAAUAAAUAUUUUUUGUUUGAAUUUUUAUUUUUUUUCUCUUUUUCAAACACGAAAGAAAAAUGAAUAUAUUUUUGGAUUUUGAAAUUUUCCUCUUAAUUUUGGGAAGAGGGACUUUUACAAAAAUAUUUUGGAUUUUGGAGCAAAAUGUAUCUUCAGACUCAAUUUUCAAAAUUUGUAUAUUUUUAUAUUUUUAUUUAUGGAAGACAUCUAAGGAGUAUUUUAAUGAUUUGUUUUGAUCUAAAAGGAAAAAAUUGGCUAUUUUUCAAAAAAAAUCUUUAUUUAGAAAAAACAGGGACUUGGUCUUGCAGAUACGGCUUUUCAGCACUUUUGGGAGGAAACUUUUAAGAUUGUGUCAGCAAACUAUGUAAAAAUGAAUCAAGGUGGUUGUUCUUGCAAAAACAGCUUCCCGACGUCCUUUUGGGGACAUUCAGCUUGCUUUAACAAGAAUGGAUCAUCCGACUUAUUUAUGACAAAAAUUAAAAUCUUGACCAUUUUUGGGCUAUUUAUGCAAAAGGAAGGUUGGACCUAAUGAGGGUUGCCUACGUAUCUCACAUUCGGUGAGAAUCAAACCAGCGUAGUUCGGGCAUAUUUGCCACAAUAUAAUGUAUAUUUUUUGAACAACAAUUUUUGUUUUCAAAUACUUUUUCUUUAUCCCAUUUUUCAAAAUUUGGCAGCAUUUCGAUACUAUUUGGACAUUGAUUUUUCCACGACAAAUAGUUACCCUCUUUUUGCCCUAACACUGCUAUUUUUCUCAAUUUUCUUUAUAUACAAGCCGGUCAACAUGCAAAAUCGAGCAAAUAAAUGCUCAAGUAGCACAUAAGAUGAAUCAGGAUGGUCAAUUCAUUUUAGGUCACAUGUCCUAGACGGAUCCAACUCCUAUGUUGAGUCCCCUAAGCCAAAUGAACAUGAUGCAAACAAACGUCCUACUAGGGAUCCGGCAUGAGGUUUUGUUCUUCUAGGUUUAAGCCCUAGGUUUAUUGGUCUAGACCUGGCUUACCCGAGCUGACAACACGAUUCGAGGGGGCAGCAAGCUCCGCCGGCUUUGCAACUUAUCCGAACCUCGUUCUAAAAUGGGACUGGACUCUAGACAGAAAAGAAGUCACACGAAGUGCACCGUUCUUCAUGGUUUAGAGGACUCAGAGAGAGGAUGGAUUUCGUAAUAGUUUAUAUACAUUUCACGAAAUAUUAAAAUGAUAAACAUUUAGCACAUACAACAUGAAAUAUGUAGGAAAAUCAGAUGAAGCCAAAUAAAACAAUUAUUCUAAGCUCGAAACUUAAACCCUGAACCGAAGUUCUGGAUUUGUAUCCCCAGCAGAGUCGUCAGAUCUAUCACACCUCCUUUUUUACACACCACCUCGAAGGAUAGAGUAUAAUGGAGUUUUUCCAUUUUAAGUAACAUUAUUCGAAUCAGAAUUAUUUAUUUAUUUAGAGUCGCCACUUGGAAUAGGUUUGGCUUUUGGAGUCCCAAGUCACCCGUUUAACUUGAAUCCCAAAUUGAGAAAAAUUUUGACUUCCCAGUUGAAGUCUGCAAACCAGAAAUUCUGAAUAAGGAAUUCUGUUGACCCGAAAGAAAGUGUUGGGAAUCCCCAGAUCCCGUGGUUCUAGCACGGUCGCUUAAAUUAAUAUAAUUGGCUAAAAUCUAAGUUUUAUACAUGUUCCAACCGACAGUGAAAUAUUAGGAGUAUUUACCACUUUUAGUUAAUUUUUGAGAAAGUGAAUGUCGUUAAAAAUGUGUUUUCAUAUCACGUCAAAUCAAAUGCACCCGGAUCCUUAAAACAUUCUUAUUCGACUUUUUGAGAUUUGGAUUUGGGUUGCAUGAAAUGCACACAAGUAUUUAAGAAAGUAAGAUUAUUAAAAGUGCACCUAAAAGCGACAAACGUAUUUUUAUCUUUGCGAGAGUCCGUGAAAUUUGCUAAACGGCACGUCCCGAAUUCUAAGUAUUUUAAUAUAAGUAUUUAAAGAAGGCCCCGCAAUUUAUGCAUUUUUAUUUGGCGAGACUCCUCUCAUUUUAUGAUGUGAAGGCAAACGUGAAAGCAAUCUAUCCUUUUUAUAUUAAAUUUGUCUUUAAAAAGACCUAAUUAAUUAAUAUUGUAUAGUUCGGGCCUCAAGUUCAAGCCCAGAUUCAAACAAAAGGGAGUAAUAUCCUAAUUUGAACCCGCUACCUAACUCAAAAGCCCAAAUUUAUAUUAUUUUAAUCCCCAUAUUACUAGUAUGAUUUUAAAGGACUUUAGACUUCAAACAUUUUUUGGUCUUGAAAGUUUGGCCCAGACUUGUAAUGUGAAGAUGUCCGGCAAAUGAGCUUCAGCGUGAUCCCAAUUUGCACGUGACUCCAUAAAUGGGUAAAUUGUCAAAUAUCAGUUCAUAAAUUCUUGGUUGAGUCUUGUAUAAUUUGUCCUAAGCUCCCGCCGCCCAGCUGUUAUUUUGGGUCCAGAAUCUAAUUCAAGCAAGUUUUUGAUUUUCACAUAGCGGGUAACACUAAAUAAUCAGGUUCAUUUGAGUAUAUAUAGGGGACAUACAAAGGUGAUGUACGGGUUUGGAGUAGAAACAAUCCAGAUUUUUUAGCAGAUCUUUAAAAAUUUAGUUAAAAGGAUUCCAUACUAAGCUAAUGCCAGCUGAUACGACAUAAUUUAUAUAAUUUUCUACGAGCUCAUAUGACAUUUAAACAUAGAACUUCAAACUGACGUUUAACAAAUCUGGACAUAAACUUUAAAGACUAUGACUAUGUAUUACCAUUUAAUCCAUCACAUGUAGCUUACACGAUCAGUUUC